Molecule: ribosomal RNA, 437 nt
Filed under: Polititapes aureus
Lineage: Eukaryota; Metazoa; Mollusca; Bivalvia; Venerida; Veneridae
Description: partial 16S ribosomal RNA
Rfam family: Bacterial large subunit ribosomal RNA
Source: RNAcentral
UCCUGCUGGAUUUUAGUAUAGGAAGUCGGGCCUGCCCGGUGCAAAGAGUAAACGGCUGCAACGCGAGUUGUACUAAGGUAGCGCGAUAAUUUGUCUCUUAAUUGGAGAAUGGUAUGAAAGGUUUGACGCGGAUUAGUUGUCUCCGGAAAAAACAAUGAAGUUUCCUUUUAAAUGAAAAGGUUUAAAUGAUAAUAAAAGACGAGAAGACCCUGCCGAGCUUGAUCAGGUUUAGCAUAAAGUGUUAAACUAAAAGGUAGUUGGGGAGAGCUAAACUUUAGAGAAUAGGUUUUUAAAAACGCGGAUCCUCUUGGAGAGAAAAUAGGUAAAAGCUACCGCAGGGAUAACAGCGUAAUUUCCCUUAAGAGAUCGUAUUGAGUGGGAAGUUUGCGACCUCGAUGUUGGAUUAGAAAAACUUCUUGGUGCAGGAGCUAGGAAAA